Molecule: non-coding RNA, 1698 nt
Organism: Vicugna pacos (alpaca)
Lineage: Eukaryota; Metazoa; Chordata; Mammalia; Artiodactyla; Camelidae
Source: RefSeq, a predicted model, not a curated record
CAGUAGCAAAACUGAGUAUCACUUUUACAUAGUGAUACUUUAUAGUUUAUAAAGCAUAUUCACAUGCAUCAUCUCAACAACAUAUACAUAUUUAACAAUCUUGUGAUAUAGUCAGAUUAGGCAUAAUUAUUUGCUUUAUCCCCUCCACUUUUUUUUAAGCUCAAAAGGAAACUUCGAUGCUCAAGGAUAAUAAAUGACUUGUUCAAGGUAACUAUUUAGCAAGUACUACAAAACUCAAAUCUAAAUUUUCUGGAUUCCUAACCCAGUGGUCUUUAUACUUAUACUUUAGCUUGCUUGGUUCUAGUCUAGUUGGGGCAAUUAACCACUGGAUCUCCCUGUGGUAUCGUUUCCUCACUUAUAAAAAUGUCUAGAUUGGACGAGAUACUAUCUAAGGCAGUAGUUUUCUUCAAACUUUUCUGACUGUAACCUAUGGUAAGUAACACACUUGACACUGCAAUCUAGUACACAUAUAAAUACAGUUAAAACAAGAACUGCAUGAAAUAAUACUUACCCUUACUAGGAGCCAUACAAGACCAUUUCACUAACAAGACGUACAAAAGGGAAAUGCUGGAUGUGACUGGCCCUACUGAUUUCACUGACCUAACACUGCAUGACAACCCCAAUUUGAAAACACUGCUUUAAGGAGACCCACUGUACUGUUCUAGGACUGCCUCUAAAAUAUAGGUAAGAAUAUGACAUUUCUUAUUUGAAGGAAAUUGGAGGCAAAUCUUUUUAUAAAACCAACAUUCUAUGGCAUAAAUAAAUCAAGUUUUAGACAUAUGUACCAUACUAGCUAGUCAGAUUUCUGGCAACCUCAAUCAAAAAAUAAACCUACAAGUUCUCUGGGUCAAAAUAUCAUAUUCUGCAUAUUUAAUAAUAUAUAUAUAUAUUUAUUGACUCAACACACAAUUCUAACAAAUUUUUCCCAGGCUACAAGAAGGUAAAAUAUGACAAAGAGUAACCAGGUUUUGAAGGAAGAACAAAUGAAAAGCUUAGGAAGCAUAUAUGAACUACCAAAGCACAACAUAACCUAGGAAUUUUUAACAAUCUAGGAUCAAUUUUUAAUCUGGGACAUAAAGCCAGAUCUAUAUGUGGUUAAUAUAUACAGUUUGCUUCCAUUAUUAUGUAGGUGCUUUUAAGUUUUAAAUGACAGAUAUGCAUAUCUCUCAAACUAUUCUGUAAAACUGUUGUUUUUCCUCUUAAGUAUACAUCUGCCCAAAUAUUUUUAUUAAUAUUUCUAUACAGAGGAAAGGAAUGAACCAGGAAAAUAAAAGUUCCAGGAAAAACAGGAAAUCCUCAAAGACCAAUACUAGUGGUCUCACUGGUGAUCUGGGUCAUACAAUGUGCACAGCAGAGCUGAAAUUACCAGUAAUGGUUCACGACAGAGAAGGGUCAAUACAUUCCCUUAAUGACCAUGAGCAGAACUGUUGUGGUCUAGGGAAAAGUACUUGUCCCACGUGGAAACAAUCAGAAUUUCUCUCCAGAAAUCUGAAACUUGACCAGGGGUACAGAAAGAAAGAAGGCGCCCGGAGCUGAGGCAUCUGAGGACAGCACUGCAGGAGAGGGUCAGUGAGUCCCUGCUUUGGUGAUCUGAGGCUCCCUGGUUUUUGCUCUUCUAAAGACUUGUUUUUUCCAACUCUUCCAUUAAUUCUGUGAGUUACCCUAGAAUCCCUCCAAUGAAUUCAUUUUUGGUCCCUC